This 395-nucleotide unclassified non-coding RNA is filed under the name soil metagenome. Its description in RNAcentral is "partial contains 5.8S ribosomal RNA, internal transcribed spacer 2, and large subunit ribosomal RNA". The stretch from base 1 to 122 matches the Rfam family "5.8S ribosomal RNA", at positions 35 to 154 of the family's 154-position model. The record is from RNAcentral.
GAUGAAGAACGUAGUGAAAUGCGAUACUUGGCGUGAAUUGCAGAAUCCCGUGAACCAUCGAGUCUUUGAACGCAAGUUGCGCCCGAAGCCAUCAGGUUGAGGGCACGUCUGCCUGGGCGUCACAUAUCGUUGCCCAAUGCCUAUUGCAGUGCAAUAGGAAUUUCUAGGGCGAAUGAUGGCUUCCCGUGAGCGUUGUUGCCUCGCGGUUGGUUGAAAAUCGAGUCCUUGGUAGGGUGUGCCAUGGUAGAUGGUGGUCGAGUUAGAACGAUACCGAUCAUGUGCAUGCUCCCCAAAAUAUGGCCUCUAUGACCCACACGCGUCUUUUGACGCUCAUGACGAGACCUCAGGUCAGGCGGGGCUACCCGCUGAAUUUAAGCAUAUCAAUAAGCGGAGGA